UGUGUGCCCAAGCAUUGAGGCAGUCAAAGUAGGCAAAUCCGCUUUGAUAAUGCUGGGAUGUGAUGGGGAGCGAAAUUUAGUAGCGAAGUAGCUGAUUUCACACUGUCAAGAAAAGUCUCUAUCGAGGGUAAAGGUACCCGUACCGCAAACCGACACAGGUGGGUGAGGAGAGUAUCCUAAGGCCAGCGAGAGAACUGUUGUUAAGGAACUCGGCAAAAUGACCCCGUAACU
Molecule: ribosomal RNA, 231 nt
Filed under: Clostridioides difficile
Lineage: Bacteria; Bacillati; Bacillota; Clostridia; Peptostreptococcales; Peptostreptococcaceae
Description: partial 23S ribosomal RNA
Rfam family: Bacterial large subunit ribosomal RNA
Source: RNAcentral